AAAGACUAAUCGGAGAAGACACAGGGUCGGUCUCACCAAUGCAGCCUAACGUCUCAAGAGCAGCAGCCUUCGUAAGUGCAAGUGAUCUCCCAAUGUGACUGAUGUAUGAAUCUUUCCUUGUUGAUUUUUGUUUAUAAAUUGCAUAAUAACAAUCAUUUAUAUAUAUAUAUAAUCUCAACUGGAAGGUGAGGAAUUCUUUUCAACAAGUACAUAGAAAUGUAUUUAACGAGACAGGGAUGGGAGCACAGCAGCAUCUUCCACUGUCAAAUCAACAUAACAACAUUAGAAAAAGGGAGAUAUAUUCCUGCUGCUUUUUUCCCAAAUGAAAAAGAGGGAUUCUAUCAACUUUGUCAAUCUUCGAUCGCGUGGGCAUAUGCUUCGAUGACUGUUCAAGAGAACAAAUGAGGAAAUGAUCAGCAGUCGAUACAACAUUCUGAGAGAAUGAUUGCAGUGCAAACGAUAUGCUCCUUAAUGACCCACAGAUAUGGCAAAUCUCAUGAUGACAGGCCAUUUCUCAUUUCUGCUGCUCAUGCCAAGUGAAUCAUAUCCCAUCUUACCUAUUAACUGUGUCAGAUUUGAAAUGGUGGAGAAGAGCGUCAGGUGUUGUACUUGAUGAAAUCCUGCCUGGCCUGAUUAAUAAUUGGCAAUAGGCAGUAGCAGACUGUGUACUGCACAAUACUAAAAGCGAGACUAAGGUAUAAAUGCAUGCAUGGCCUUUGAUGUUCC
RNAcentral lists this long non-coding RNA (726 nucleotides) under Musa acuminata (dwarf banana). RNAcentral's name for it is "long non-coding RNA (MACU_LNC000672)". The record is from RNAcentral. Lineage: Eukaryota; Viridiplantae; Streptophyta; Magnoliopsida; Zingiberales; Musaceae.